CCUACGGGAGGCAGCAGGGAGGAAUAUUGGUCAAUGGGCGCGAGCCUGAACCAGCCAAGUCGCGUGAGGGAAGACGGUCCGAUGGAUUGUAAACCUCUUUUGUCGGGGAGCAAAAGACGCCACGCGGGGCGUUCCGAGAGUACCCGAAGAAAAAGCAUCGGCUAACUCCGUGCCAGCAGCCGCGGUAAUACGGAGGAUGCGAGCGUUAUCCGGAUUUAUUGGGGUUAAAGGGUGCGCAGGCGGAAGAUCAAGUCAGCGGUAAAAUUGAGAGGCUCAACCUCUUCGAGCCGUUGAAACUGGUUUUCUUGCGUGCGUGCGCAGUCUGCGGUAUGCGUGGUGUAGCGGU
This 346-nucleotide ribosomal RNA is filed under the name uncultured bacterium. RNAcentral describes it as "partial 16S ribosomal RNA". It matches the Rfam family "Bacterial small subunit ribosomal RNA", at positions 338 to 682 of the family's 1533-position model. The record is from RNAcentral.